CUGGCUAUAAGGAGUUCAAUAUUUCAGCAAAAUGGAUUUUGAGAAUAUGAGGAAAAGAACUGGGUCAGUCUCCAAGGAGAGCCUUCAGGAUACACACGGCAAGAUAAUGGAAUUCAUCACCUAUUCUGAGGGCUCCGCCGUGUUAACACAGCUUACCACUCUCAGGCAGAAUAAAGUUCAUGAUUUA
Alosa sapidissima (American shad) is the source of this 187-nucleotide long non-coding RNA. RefSeq lists it as uncharacterized. The record is from RefSeq and is a predicted model, not a curated record. The transcript is spliced from 2 exons. Lineage: Eukaryota; Metazoa; Chordata; Actinopteri; Clupeiformes; Clupeidae.